Molecule: long non-coding RNA, 9820 nt
Filed under: Phaseolus vulgaris (common bean)
Lineage: Eukaryota; Viridiplantae; Streptophyta; Magnoliopsida; Fabales; Fabaceae
Description: long non-coding RNA (PVUL_LNC002441)
Source: RNAcentral
AAUUAAUUAAUAAAAUUUAUAGUUUUAUUAUAAUUUGAGAGAAGUUAAAUAUAAAAAACAUCAUUUGUGUAAUUAUGAAAAAAGAAUUUAUAAAUUAAAAUCAGAAACAAAUGAAAAGCAUCUUAAUCUUCUGUUAAUGAUAUAGAUAUGUUACAAGGAAUCCGUUCUCCAUUCUCAAUCUCCUCGUACGAUCUCAUCUUACACUCACCGGACCACUCUAUCGCGCCACCGUCCACGGCGGCUCCGGCAAUCACCUUUGGCUCGUGGAAAAUAAAAAUUAAAAAAAAUAUAUAAAAAAUAAAAUUCAGAAAUAUAUUCCAAAAAUCCAUAUUCAAGAAAAAAUAUUCUGACAAUCCAAAUCUAAUGUAUUUUUAAAAUUCAAAUUCAAAAUACAUUUGAACCUACACCACAACUACCACUGGUAUUUAAAAAUUAAGAAAAAAACAUUUUUAUCAUUUUACACCUAACUUAUUAGUUACGUAGUAAAAAAAAAUGGGUGCAAAAAGUAAUUAAUUAAAACAUUGAGCGCAAAAAAAAUUCUUCUUCCCCGAGCUUCUUAUUAAGUUAUUAAUUACAUAACAUUGGAGAGAGAGUUCUCAAAAAAUUCUUCCCCUUUCUUAAUAUCAGGUACCGUGUUUCUUAAUUCUGCAUUGAAUUUAAAGGCUUGUUUUGUUCAUUAGAAAUCUGAAUUAUAGAAGUUUCGUUGAUAAUGUUUCUGGUGCUAAUUAUUUCUUUGCUUUUUUCAUUUUCAUUUUCCUCGAAUUCUAUCUUUUUUCUCCUUAUUUUAUGAUUCUGAUUCUGCUUCUGCUGAUCGUUUUGAUCCGCUCAUGGUUUGCAUUAUACAUGUGUGUAACUGAAUUUGAUUUACGUCUUAUUUUUGAGGUUUUUGGCGUAACAGUGUAUUUGGAUUGCUGUUUAUGACCCUAAUGUUUUCCAUUUGGUUAGUGAUGUAUGAUAUGCUUAUUGAGUUGGUUGGUUUUGAUGAUAAAUUUGAUAUGACCCUUGGAACAAUGACUUAUUUUAGUGUGUUAUUAGGGUUUAUGAUGAUUUUGGUGUACAUGAUUUUUGUUUUGGUUUUACUUGUUAGAUCCUAUUUAUCAAUCCCUUUUCCUUGAAAAAAAGGGUAAGAACUUCCCACCCCAUAACAGUAUAAAUAGGUGAUUAUAUUGUGCAGGGUAUGGGAAUGAAUCCAGAUGCUGCUUUUGACGCUUAUGACUAUUUAUUUGAAGAAAUAGAGGGAGAAGAUGACUAUUUUUCUGAAGAACUAGAGGUAGAACCUUAUAUAAAUUCUGCAUUUCGUUCUUCAAGUACAAAUGAAGUUUAUUUCUUCUUACAAGACAAGUACAUGCGGUUGUAUUACACUCCUGGACAGCAGACACAGACAGAUGAUAAGAUUUUGAGAGAUUUGGAUUGGAUUUGUUAUGACUUUCCAUCACUUGAGCAUUCGUCAUUUUCAGCAUAUGGAAUAAAAUGUUCCUUUGACACUGAAGACUACAAAGCAUAUAUCUUCUCUGAGUGUUAUUGUGUCUACCUUGACUAUGCCAAUGACAAGAUACUAUCAUUUUCUGCUAUUCGUAGAACGUUUCCCAUCCUAGAAAACACUGUGUUUGAGCAAAACAUACACUCUGCAUUCAGGUCACCCAGAGGACAAGAAGUUUACUUAUUCAAGGGCAAUAAGUAUUGUUGCUUAGACUAUGAUUCUAAGCAACUUAUUGACCCCAUUCGUAAAAUCACUGAAGGAUUUCCUAUUUUGAAAGGUACCAUCUUUGAAAAUGGAAUUGAUGCAUGUUUCGCUUCUCAUAAGGAGAAUGAAGUUUAUCUUUUCAAGGGAGAAAAUUAUGUACUGAUGAAUUUCAUAGAUGACACCCUUGUGGAUGAUGUGAAGCCCAUGGUUGAUGUUGGUCAUCUUUAAAAGGCAUUCUGCCUCUUGGUGAUCCACAAGGUGAUCCUUAUCCUCAAAAAGUUGGUACUAAUCGUUAUCAUAAUCGUUCAGUAGAUGAAGAAGAGUAUGAUGAAGAGUAUGAUGAAGAGUAUGAUGAAGAGUAGGAUGAAGAGUAGGAUGAAGAGUAGGAUGAGCUUAGACAAAAAAAAAAAAACGGACUAGCCAUAACGUGAUAACGUGAAAAAAAGCNNNNNNNNNNNNNNNNNNNNNNNNNNNNNNNNNNNNNNNNNNNNNNNNNNNNNNNNNNNNNNNNNNNNNNNNNNNNNNNNNNNNNNNNNNNNNNNNNNNNAUAGCUCCCCGGUUCUCAGCUCAGCCAUAGAAGAUCUUCUUCCAGCUUUCACUUUCGUAAUCGCCAUUGUUUUCAGGUCUGUUUCCAAUGCUUUUGUAACAAUGCUGUUUUUUAUCCUUCUACAUGUGUUGGUGUCCUUUUUCUAAAAGAAAAAUAAUGAACUAAAUGAUUGUAUGGUAUGUUGAGGAGAGUUUUUCGCUAACAAUUAUUAAGAUAUAAAGUGUAAAACUAUAAAUGAAUUAAGUUUUUAUAAUUAAAAUUAAUUUAUGCAUGAGUUAAAAAUAAAUAUUUGAAGAUAGGUUGCUGCAAAAUAAUAAGACUUUUUUGGUUUCUGCAAAUUCUGAAAAUAUUUGGGAAGUUUGAAUCUAACCCUUUGCAUCCCUCACCGUGAUUCCUCACAAUGCCGUUUCCUACACACGCCACAAAAAGUAGAGAAAAAACUAUUUUUUUAUGUUGGAGCGCCUUGUCAUUCUUGCUUUCUCUCCUCAUUCUUUUGUUUUUAGUUAAAUUAUUCGUUUGUCACUAUAUUUGAUCUCAUUUUAACUUUCAAGUUUUAGUCAAUUUUAUUUUUUUUUAAAGUUUUAGUUCCUACGCACUUUUUUUAAUCCAUUCUCUCAUUUUUGUUGAAAUUGAUCAGAAAUCACAAAUUUUAAUCAAUAAAAUGGAAAGAAUGUGUUAAGAAUAGUGUAUUCUUAUCACUUUUUAAGUUAAGUUUUGGUUCAUCUGGCAAAGACCAAAGAAGAAUUUUGUUGUAGAGAAACAUUUCUACAAAAAAGUUAUGAAAGUAAUAAACUGCUACACAAAAAAAAAAAAAAAAAACUUAAGAGGGACAGAAACUUGCAGUUUUGUCAAAAAUAGGGAUUAAAACUUAAAAAUAAAAACAACUAUAUGAUCAAGUGAAUAGUUUAACCUUUGUUUUUGAUUGAGGUAACUCCAAUAAGGAACCAUUUAAUUAUUUAUAUGGAAGUUUAUUUCCUCUAUAAAAUUGUGUUAUUAAUGAAUCGGUAGUGAUUUGAGUUCUCCGUCUGUUCCUCUGCAGCAAUUGUUACUAAUUACCUUUUUUUUAAAAUGGUAUAUGACUACAGGAAAACCUUGAAUAUUUAGUUUGCAUGCGAGUUAUGGUAUCGAGGAGGCUAAAGUCGGUUCCCUCUCUCUUUCAAAGUCUUGUUAUUUUAAUGUGUUUGUUGUUGAUUAGGUGUUGUUUUGCUUCCUAAUGUUUGGUUUUCGUUUUGUAGCAAAAAAACAACUGUAACAAGAGGCAUCUUGCCAAAAAAUUUGUUUCAUUUAGCACGCUACUUACAGGAAUCCAUGUCUACUUCUGGUGUGCCACUGUUGGUUUAUGAAAAGGCUGUUAAUGCAGUUUGCUUCACUUCAGUGUUCCUAAAACACUUGAUUGAAAGUGCCCAAGAUGGUGUUCUUGUGUUGUACUAAAAAGUAUUUUGGGAGACUAUGUAGUGUAACGUUCAUAGGACUUUAGAAAUUCAUUCAUCUUUGCUCAGUACCCUUACAAAGGUUAUUCUUUCUUUAUUAUUUAUUUAUGAAUAUAAUUUCUAUGCACUAUUACUAUCAUUUUUAUAUUGUCAACCAUCAGAAAGGAUGACUUUUAAAUUAGUUAUUAUAAAAGUCAAAGAAACAUAUUAUUCAUGGCAACCUGUGAUUGAAGAUAGUGCAAAAGUAUUUUACACUGUCAGUGCAUUAAAUUAACUUUUUCAUUUAUUUGGUUUUAUGGUAAGUUAGUAAAUUUUCAGAUAUCUGGCCCUGGAAUCUCCUCUUCUAGUUACUGAAAUUUAUCCAGAUGCUCUAUUCUAAUGCAGAUCAUGAGGAAUGUGCUUAACUUUAUUGCAUCUGUAGAUGUGAGGUAUAUCAUGGAUAAUAAAUUGGUAAAUUUUCGUUGCCUUAUUGUGUGAAACUGCAAACUUUUUUUUGCCCUGAUUAUAUAUAUAUUUUUUCUUAUAGUCCCAACACAUAUUUCCUACAUCUGGAGCUGCUUAAUUUUAUGAUUAUUGCAAUGUCAACUCAGCUUCUGUGUGAGCCAUCUCCUAGAUCGAAUGAUGUGAACCCAUUUCUUGAUGCAGUGAUGGCUCAGGUAAGAAGCUAAAGCUUAAAUAUCUAAUUUGGCUAUUUAGUUUCUAGGUAAUUUGAAGUUGAACCCACUAGCGAAUUUGAAGUUACUGUGUACUCUUAUCUUUUGCAGGAUGGUCAUCUGGUAAGUUCAGUUGUGUGCAAACUGCUUUUAAAUUACAUUACCUGUCCUAGUGUUCCUUUUAAUCGAGCUUCUUAUCCCAUGUUUUAUGAUGGAAACGAGAAUGUUCAAGAAAUCCAUUAGUGGAUAGCAGUCUUGAUGUGCUUCUUGUUCUCAUUCAUUAUCGUAAAUGUCUUGUGAGUGAGGGCUAUUCUGUCACAGAGAAUCAAGUAUCUUAUGAUGUCAGAGUAUUUGUUUCGUAUGUUUUUCUGUCACCCACACUGCAUGUAGAUCAAGCAACAAUUCUUGGACUUCUUUCCUUGUUGGACUUUUAUAUACAUAUGAAGUUAUGGGUAUGCAUGUGACAUCUUAUUUUGUUUGUUUUCCUUUUUUAGUAGCAAGUGUGUCUGGAAUAUAUACAUAUGUACAUUUAGUGUAUACUUCAUUAUAUUGAAUUUUAUAUCACAGUAUUUUAAACGUUUCAAAAAAUUUCCCUCUCUUGGUGCUCAGCUGAUGAAACAGCUGUCUUACUUCUUUACUCAUUGUUGCAAGGGAAUUUCACCUUUCUGGAGUAUAUGUCUUGGUCCGGACUGAUAUGGAUACAUUGGUAUGAAGAAAUAAACUUAAAUCCUCUUGAGAAAAAGUGGAAUGAAUUAAUUAUUAUACGGUAUAAAUAAAUUUUAGGGGAUUCCUUGACUAUGAUUUGAAAAUAUCAUUCCUUAUUCUUAUGUCUUAAUCAUACCAGUCUUAUUAUCAGUGCCUCUAGAAUGAAUGAGGAUUUAGUCAUGCUCUGAUAAUCUGAUUUUUUGUUUCUCUCGUUAAAUUAACAGUUAAUGCCCAUUCUAGAAGAUUAUACGAUGCUCGAAGGAGGACAGCCAAUCAAAUUUACAUGUUGAUUAUACUUCUCAUACUUAGUCAAGAUUCUUCUUUCAAUGCGGGAAUUCAUAAGCUGGUAAGACUUGUUUUUUGUCAUUAGACAAAGUCUUAUACUGUAAUGAUUGUGCUGAAUAGUAUGUUUAUGGACAGAUACUGCCAACCAUUCCAUGGUACAAAGAACGACUUCUCCUCCAGUCUUCUCUUGAUUCCCUCAUGAUAAUCAUUCUUAUCAGAACUGUCUUAUCAUUGGACAGAACUUGAUGUAUAUCUUUAUACAACGUGUUUGGCAACAUUGGCAAACAUGGCACCUCAUGUCCACCAUUUGAGUGCGUAUGUUGCCUCUCUUUCUGGCCUUUCAUAAUAAACUAUAUCCAUUUCAUAUUUAAUGGAUCACAGAAUAUGUAAUGGAUCACAAAACAACAAGGAACUGGUGCAUUAUGAAGCACAAUUAAUCAACCGAGGAAACAAUAUGUCAACUAUAUUUCAAAACAAAAAUUCUAACCAUUUUCAAAUUAAUAAACAGGGUCUGGGAAAUCACAUUCUAAGGCUCCACUGUUUCCCAUCAGCCAGUGGCAGUAUGUUUCUUGAAAUCAUUCAAAACCUUGCCUUCCCACUGAGCACCCUCUUUUGCCACGGUCCAUAUAACCACCACUUUACUGCAAUGCACUGACAAUAAUAGAUUUAGGUAGCCCUAAAUUGGGUGCCCAAGCAACAUCUCUAACCCAAUCUGUGUGCAUAUGAAGAGUCCAUCUUCCACAGUUCAUUGUUGAGUUUCCAUACCUUCACAGUAUUAUCAAAGGAACACGAUGCUACUUGCCAAACAGGUCCUAGGUGACCAGUCAAUGUUGCUCACUCCAAUUAUCUUAAUUGUGUGAUCUGAUGAAGCUGCUGCCAGUCUCUUACCAUAGUAAUCCAUGGCAACAUCAUGGACCGUGUCUUGGUGAUCCGUUUCAACCUUCUGAGAACGCAUACUACUGCUAAAAACACACACAUACACAAUGCGAACAGUUAGUUUCAAACAACAAUUUGCAAGUGAAACUAAUACUCCAAAGGUUCUAAAUUUCACACAAAUAUUCAUUGAAUUUAGCAUUGAAGAAAGUGAAACGCAAUUAUGAGUAAAUCAGUUUUAUGUAUGACAUAUUGUUCGAUGUCAUGUCAUUGUUGUAAUAUAGUUACUAUCAAUUUGAUAAAUGAGAUAGUAAAAUAUAUUAAACGAUUUAUAAAAGUAUGAUAAAAAAAUUUCUUUACCUUAUUACCAAUAGACUUUAUAUUAUGCAUAGUCUUCUAUUAUAAUAGAUAAAAUAUAACUUUAUUAUUCUUAUAAUUUGACCAUUUUCACAUUAAGGUGGACUUCAUCUAUCUCGAAAAUCUAAAGCAGUUAAUUAAGUUUUAAUAAUAACUAAAAUCUUUAAUUUGUCUCUACAGUCAGAAUUAAGCGAGAUUGUGGUAAUUCAUGUUCAAUAUGAACAUUUACCAUCUCUAUAAAUGGGUAAAUGUUACAUGAUAAAAGGUACAUUUUGCUAUCGCAUUUAUCAUUUCGAUUUGAAUUUCGAAUACUAACUUGAGUGUCCAAGUGUAUUUUGCAAAUAUCUUCCUCAUCUCGACCGAAAUCACAUAAGUGACAAAGAUCCAAGAAGUAAUUAAUUAAGAUUUUAAAACUAAUGGAUAAAAGGAGAAAACACAUUCCUCACAUACAAAACAAAUGAUAAUUUUUAUCUCUUAGUACAUAAAUGGGUUAUAAUUCCAUCUUUAAAAACUAAAAAUUAUAACUUAGUUCUUAAAUAUGUAAAAAAAUAUAUAAAUUAUAUUAUAUUUUUUAUAUAAUUUAAGGACAACUUCAUCUUCUUUAACAAUAUGAAAUAAUUAUUAUAUUUUUUCACAUUUUUAAGGAAUAAAUCAUAACUUACAUAUUGAAAGUGGUUGUUAUUCUGAAAUUUUUAUAUAAAACCUGCUCAAAGAUUUAUUAUAUCUUUAAAUGUAUGAUAAGGCUUUGAAAGAACUUGGAAGGUGCAAUUGGCUACAAAAUUAGGAAUAUUCAAAAGAGAGAUACUCUCAACGAAUUCAUGUCAAUUAUGUAGAUUUUUACUUUCUAUUAUUGACACCAACAUCUUAAGCUUUGAAUGCCUUCUUAUUUUUUUUUAUAAUAGGGUAAUUUGAAAAACUUUCUUUGUAAUAUCUCUUAAUUAGUUUAUGCAUAAGAUUUUAAUGUUAAUAAAUUUCUUCAUACAAAAAUAAAAAUAUUUUUUCUUAUGUAAAACUAAUAUUUGCACACAUUUAUAUGAAUUCUCUAAAUUUAUUUAAUUAAUUUGAGUAUAUAGAGAAUCUCAUUUUAUUUUUUUAUUUUUCCUAGAAUUCUUUAUAAAGAAGCUAAUUUAAACAGAGUUCAUUUAUAUGAUUUUUUUUAUUAUAACUUGGAUAAGCUAAUUUUAACUCUUAGAAGAAAAAGACUCAGUUCAAUUGUUAUUUCUUAUUUUCCACUCCUAAAAUGUCUUCCCUAUGUGUUUGUCCACCAAAGAUACAUAUAAUAAUGAAGAGGUUUGGUUAAUGAAUACCUACUUAAAAAAAAAUAUUUUAAAAUAACUGAUUUAAAAUAUAGCUAUUAAAAAAUAGUGAUGUAUAAUUUGGGUUUAAAAUAUGCAUAAAAUUGUAACAGCUUACAAUCUUUUACUUUUAUUGUUUAUGUAGCAUGCUGUUACAAUCAUACUAAAUAUUAGUGGAGUUUCAAAUUUUAAAUAUUAUACUUUUCAAGGUUAGUAUUUAAUUGCAUUAUUAAAUGAGAACACUGGAAAUUGUCUGAGUUGAAUUUAUAUAUAUUAACUAUAUGGUAUACUUUCAAGGAAUAAGAGAUAACUAAACCAUUAUCAUCAACAUAUCAUCACCAAGAAGAUUUACCUUUAUUAUAAAGAUACCACAAAACCAUAAAAUGAGGGGCAAGUGAUGGCACACUUGUAUAUAGCAUCAUCCUUUAUUCAUUACAUGGAUAUCUCAAAUCAUUUGCAUCUUCAGGAGUGAACCAUUACACUCAAAAUUUAUGAACAGAAAAGAAUGAGAACAUUAAAUUUUUGUACCUAAUUUAUCUACACAAAUAUUCACAAACAGAGUUGGAGUGCUUGACAAGGGAUCAAGCUGAUGAUACUCAGACUAGUCAAAGUCACUGUUUUGGAAUGUAUUUCUUACCUCAUUGUCAAGUUUCUGCAACACAGUGAAUUUUGUCAUUGAAGACAAUAAUCCAAGUUAAUGUAUUAGUAUGUCACACUAAUGGAAAAGAAACUAAAGCAACACAUUAUUUUUAAAACUCUAGUAUGUUGAAAUUUAACUUCCAAAUGGUUUUUAAGCCAAAAAAAAACAGAGAGAAACAUUGUCCUUUAUUUUUAUAUUUUGACCAAGAAAAAAUUAUCACAAGACAAAAUUAGAAGUUGGUUUAGGUGUUCCAUUUGAAAUUCAAACACACCUGAAGUUUACAGAACUUGACAUUUGUGAGAUAUGGGAUAAUGACUUCACAAUGAAUGAGACAAUAAUAAUUUCAGAAAUAAUUUAUUAGUAUUUUCUCAUUACUAAAAUUGAACACACAACUAAAAAAACUGUUAGUACUUUUAUUUAAUUAAUUUAUAAAAUUUAUAGUUUUAUUAUAAUUUGAGAGAAGUUAAAUAUAAAAAACAUCAUUUGUGUAAUUAUGAAAAAAGAAUUUAUAAAUUAAAAUCAGAAACAAAUGAAAAGCAUCUUAAUCUUCUGUUAAUGAUAUAGAUAUGUUACACUCACCGGACCACUCUAUCGCGCCACCGUCCACGGCGGCUCCUGCAAUCACCUUUGGCUCCCUCACUUUCUCCAUCUUUUUCUCAGGUCCCUGCUUUAUCCUCUCUCUUUCUUUCUUGAUCUAUUGAAAUUUCAACUUCAAUCUUAUGAUUCCGUACCAUUUUGCGAUUCUUCAUAUUUAUUGGAUACAUCUCUCUUUUUUUGGGACAAUUUCCUCAUUUCACCUCCAUUUGCGGUUUAUUUUCAAAGAUAAAUCAUUUCACCCAAUUUUAGUUCUUUGUGCAGGGUUUGAUGUUUUUAAUUUUGCCAAUUGCUUGCUAUUCUACGAUAAUUUUUAGAUCAUGAUUUACUCAUAAUUGCGUUUCACUUUCUUCAAUGCUAAAUUCAAUGAAUAUUUGUGUGAAAUUUAGAACCUUUGGCUGGGUUUAGAGUAUUAGUUUCACUUGCAAAUUGUUGUUUGGAACUAACUGUUCGCAUUGUGUAUGUGUGUGUUUAGCAGUAGUAUGCCUUCACAGACAAUUUUGACAAGGGUGGUUGAGAGGUUGAAUGAGCAUUAGAACCAGAAAGUACGCAUACUAGCAUUGUUUUGACAAAUUUUUUGGAAUUAAAAUCAGAAAGUACGCACUUGGCAGUCCACUAAUAUUGCAGACUGCAUACUAGCAUCCAAGACUCUUUAUGUAGGGCAGAAGAACAAGGGCACAUUUCAACAUUCAAGCUUCCUAGCAGGGGAGCCACAUUGUCUGCUGGUAGACUAGUGGCAGAGGAUGGUGUUCUUAAG